CUCAUAAAAACCCAAGGCACGGGUUCAUUUCUGGAGCUGGCAGAGGUUUAGGCAGGUUUUCCACUCGCACUUAGUUCACUGCUGCUCCGUGGCUGCUGACUUUCCAAAUGCAGAGCUGUGCUGCCUUUGCAGAGCAGCUCCUAAAGAGAAACUUUCAUGCCACAGCCACAUCCAUUGAGAUGCUUCAAAGCCAGGCUGCGUGUCAGUAUUUCCACUUUACUUUGUGGUGAAGCAGAAUGUUGUCGGCUAAACUCAAAUUUACCUGAGUGUGUGCUAAUUGUGGAGGAGCAGCUUUGAAAAGGGAAAAUAGGCAAUUAAAUAUUAAUUGUUGCUUUUCGGAAGGAAGGAACUUAAUAGCUGUUUUUUUCUGUAGCUGCUGUUUAGAUCAAAGCAUUUAAUUUUUGCUGUUGAAAAUGACAAGUUAAUUGAAGGAUGAGCAUGUGAGGUAAUACAUGUUGUUUCUGUACCUUAUAGGCUUCUAAGAUUUCUGUUAGUUACUGUAGUUUUUUUAAGUUUUAUAAUUGAGAGAGAACAUUUUUCUGUUACAAAAUCUUAAGUAAUUUUGAAGGAUUGAUUGAUCUUAGUAGAAAAUGCAUUUCUAAAUCCAUACACAUAAUAUUUAUUAAGGAGAUUUUAAUGCAAAAGUGUAUUUAUAUUAUAUGUUUCUAUAGGUUUCUAGUAUUUGGCAACAAACUUGAGGAACCAACACUGUGACUCAGUGAUUUCCCACCCAUGACUUCAGCCCCACUUUAAUAUAUUAACACUUAGUGGCCAUAUUCAAAAACCCAACGUAUUUUGUACAAAAAGGAGGAAAGAUACGCAGACAUUUGAUUAAUUUCCUACUUUUCAGAUUCCUUUCUUCACCCUUAACCAUUUUUUACAGAUGUUUGAGAUUCACCCCUUGGCAUAGGAAGCCCAAGUAAAUAGAAGUUGUGCAACGGGUGAGAGGAUCUGGAGUUAAAAUGUGUCUCAAGGUGCAGUGGUGCACAAACACUUCUCUACUCUUUUAAAGAUAGCAUUUUGAUAUUAUUGUAGGGAGAUUAGCUGUAAUACCCCCAUCUCUGGCAUUCAGAGCAUCCCAAAAAGGUGGAUGAUGGGGAAAUGAGAGCUUUAUGUAGCCCCACAGAAGAAACAGAAGUAGCAGCACUGGAGGUGAGCUGGUUGUUCAGGUGAAUGUCAGGGACACUGUAAGGUGCAAAGCUGGCUCCAGUAAGCAAAACAGUACAGUUAAACCAGAAAAUAUCAUUCUCAUUCUUUCCAGUGCCAAAAUGAAAACUGAUCAGGUAUUAUUCUUGUAUUGUAGUCCCAUUUUAUAUCUUUCCAGAAUCAUUGUGUUGAUGCACUGGAAACACUGACAUAAUACUGGGAAAUUAUUCAACCCAAUGCAUUUAUUAUUUGAUCUCAAGGGUUUGUUCUUCUAAUACAAUGACACAAAACACAUACAUACUUUUUUUGUUGCUGAGGGUUUUUUGUCCCCAAAUUAUUUGAAAUGCAUUGAGAGUGUCAUGGAUGUCAGUGUAAUAAAUUUGAACCACAGGCAGAUUGCUGAGAUGAAGUUAACAUGAUACAGGCUUUUCCUCAGGAGAUGCUUUCUCUGAGAAUCUGAGUCCCCAAAGGAGUCAGUUUGUUACAAAUGAGGUAAUACUUGAUGUAGAUGUGAAGAGGUGUCACUCCUGUUGUCACAUGCAGCUCAUCCAUCAGUGUGGAACAAGGGAGGCAACAGCUGUACAUAAUGCUCAGUUAACCCAGAGUCACAGGUCAGCAGAGCCUGACAGCUGACAGUGCAGAGCCAGCUGUGGGGGAUCUUGGUGUGCAGAGUAAGAGCUUUUCUCUGGUGACAUUUCAAUGACUUAGAACGAAGAACCACAGGCUUCAGAUAAGACAAGCUUUUACAACUCACUGUCAGCCGUGCCUGUCAUGCCUUUGAUAGUUUAAAUCAUAAAUUAACGCUGCUGCUUGCUUUCAGUGAGAUUUCUCCCCUUUGUUUAGACCUCUCCUGAUGCUAAAGCUAAAUAGCAAAAAUCUGAGACAGAUUCAACAGGAAAAUUAAGCAAUCAGGCGUAUUUGUAGUAUUAACGUUCUUAGUUCAAAAGGAAAGUUUCACAGUGAGUUCCCCACCACAAUUUAGGGGAGCCAGCAAUAUCCAAACCCAGUGUGAAACAUGAUUUAGUGGUCUAAAAGUUCGGGUAUUUAUCUGAAGUUUUCUAGGUUUAAAAAGGAACCUGUUAAUGAAAGACGCCUUGUCUUUUUGAGAUAUUUAUUAACAUACCUUGGAGUAUUUCUGGUCUAGUGAAAUGAAAACUAGGUCUUUCCAAGUGCUUCAAUAUUCCAAAGCAUACAAAGAUAGAGAGGUUUUUAAUCCUUUUUUUUUCCUCUCUAAAUAAAGGCCUUUUCAAACUACUGAAGGGUGAAGUUGGUUUCAGGAAUCCAAAGCAGCAGAUUGCUGGACUUGGGAGUCUUGUGUCUCGCUGAACCAGAUUUCACCACACACCUCUUACUGCUGCGUGCUUCUCUUUCUUCUGGUGUUAUUUGUUGGCCUUACUUAUUAAAUUCCAUGUUCCUUGCAGUGGGCACGGCAUUUCACUGUGUGCAAGUAAGAGGCCUGCAAGAUUUCCCCUUUUCUUAAAGCACAGCGAUAAUUUUAUUCCUCAGCGCAUUUGUGUGUCUAUAAGAUUAUAAAUAACUACAAAUAAGCCAAAUUAAAUGAGUUGGAUUUUAGAUUUCUUUGGUAGUCAUCUCAUGCUUUGUCUGAAUUUGCUGUGAUUCACCAGAAGCAAUGACCUAUUAGAUGAGUAAUUGCAGCUUUUGCCUCCUUCUCCCUUUACAUCUGUCUUUACGUUAAAAAAGAGUUUUUUGUACGUAGCCAAAAGUGUGCACUCAGGAAAUAGUAAGGCUAAACUAUUUGCUCUGUGCAAACAGUGUAUCAAAUGUGCAAGAAGCAGCACACCAGUUAACUAUAAUUUUAUUGACUAUAUUUCCGCUGUUUUGCUUGGAGACACCUUAUUAAAACGCUCUACCCUGGACUAAAGGAACUUACUUUGGCCAGUACUUUGUUUUGAAGCAGAAAACAUUAGCAUUAGUAAGGUGAUGCUUAUAUUUCCUGAUACACUUAUUUCCAAAAAUAAUAAUUUACCUGGUCAGUUAUGUAUUCUAAAAGGUUCUUCAUAAAAUGAAAUCAGUAAAGCAGUAGUUGCUGGCUCCCUUUUUAUGUAAAUUCUUUCUGACACAGGGUUCUUUGGUUUCUUCUGCCCCUUCCUUGCUAAUGUAAAUAUGACUAGGAAGAACAAAUAUGCUUUUGCUUCCCGUGGCUAAUCGCUGGGCUUGCUUUGCCCUAGAGAAUUCCUAAGUUUUUUUUAAUCAUAGCUCUAAUGCUACUUUACAUGCAGUGCCACAGAAUAUGAUAUUUCAGGCCCACUUGUCUCAGUGAGUAUUGAACAAGCAGAGCAUUGACCAAGUCUUGACAGGUUCUUGGCAGUGCUGGGUUUGCAGUUGGACUUGAUGGUGUUAAGGGUCUUUUCCAACUUAAAGGAUCCUGUGAUUCUAGGCAGUCACACCUGGCAUUUGGAUGUUCACAUACUUCUGGGUCUAAUAACAUGUUUGUAGGGAUGGAGCUGUAGAUGGGAAGGUGACAGUGAGGGAGAAGAUAAGCUGUCCUGCAGCAGACAACACAAGGGAUGUGUCUGAAGGGGGUUUUAGGAUGUCCCACAGGGUUGGUGUCGGUUCAAAGCAGGUGCUGGUUUUGCAGCUUUAGUAUGUGCUUUUUUUGUGAAGGAAAUUCAAAGGUCUUUGAAAAUACAGUCCCUGUUUCAGACGUUAAAACAAACUGUUCGAGUCAUCUGAGAAACAAACCUCAGGACAGAAGCCUUUAAGAGGGAAAUAGGUGUCUUCAAGAGGAAUUGGUUUGUCAUCUUGUUCCCCAGCUCAUGCAGCUGCUGUCACUGGCACAGGCAGCAUUUUGAAGUCAAAGGGGGGUAGCUCUGAGUGAUGUGAUGCAUGGUGAUGUGAUGGCAGAAGUUUCUAAUUAUGCUGGUGUGCCAUUGCUUCUCUGCCCCAUUGUUUAGACACACCCAGUACAUACCCUGUGAAGGAGAAACUGGAUCUCCUUGGAGCAAGCUUCUAUAUAGGAGCUGAAGGAUUUUAGUAACCUGGAAGAGGAACUUCUCAGCAAGUUGUCAGGUUCUGCCUUAGAAUUGCAUUUACAAUAUUGUUACACCUAAAUCACACUGUGGUUUACUUCUGAUCAUGGCAGUGAAGUGGCAUGAGAGUUCUGUGAGGUGCUACUCAGGAGCAGAUCGUUUUUGAAGUAGUUGUAAAUUUAGUCAUGCAAGUUAGCCGAAAUUUCGAUUCAAGUGAAAAAAAAAUCUGUUUUGAAGGAGAUAAGCCUGAUUUAAGGGAGGUUUUAGCAUGCAGGAAAAAACAAUUAUAUGCUGUAGUUUGUGAGAGACUUCCAGGAGAUUGCCUAGAACAAACUGAAAUAGAGCAGGAGCCAACUGUCAAAACACAACAAACAGGAGAGGAAAAAAAAGAUGAAUAUAUUCACCUGAUGCCAGUGUUAGAACACUUUAAAGUACUCUGAAUGAAGGAGAUCUUGGGUAUGAAGGGACCUGUCUGUAGGGGUGAGUGGUGCAGGGUAAUCCCCAGCAAAGCCUUGAGCAGGAUGGAAAGACAAAUAGAAUUUUAUUGAAUCAUUCUGCUUGCAGAGCACAGUGCAGGCUCUGUGUUGUGAUUCCUGUGCUCCAAAUGAAGGUCUGCUCUGUGCUCAGUUCUGAAAGAGUUUCUUAUGUAGGACUUCAAUUUCCCACUUCCAUUUGAAUUAGUUGGUAGGGGAAAAAAGGUAUCCUUUGCUCGAGGUUGUUUUAUAAUGUCCAUUUUAUCAAGUCACUCCAGAAAGACAAAGCUGAGAAGUGUAAGUAAAUUUUUAAAUGAAAAAUUGUAUCUUGAGCACUCUUGGUUGUGUCUGCCAGCUCAGCUGUGUUGUACUCUACAGCUCACUUCUGAAAAGAAAGACUAACAGUCUUGGCAGAAAUUACAUAGUUAUAAAUUCAAAUUAUUAAGUAAUUUGAGGAAUAUAAAGACCUUGUUACAGCUGUAGCUUUGCCAUAUGGUCACAGCACUGGGAGACGUUCAAGCUUAAGGUUUACUGCAAAUUAAUUUUACAAACCUUGAGCAAGUUAUUAGUCUCCAUGUUCAUGGAGGGAACUCAUCCAGCUAUUCUGCUGAUUAAUAAGAUUAUAUAGUUAAAAAUACCCUUAAUGCUAAUAAAUUACAGUGUUUCAGAUUCCCAUCACAGUUGAAUAGCCUGGUUCUGUUAUCUUUUUCUAUUUCAGCCUGACUGACUAAAAGACUUCUUUUCAUGCAUAAAAAGACAAGAAUGAAUUGUGGUGACAGUCUGAAGAAAUUUCCUACAUAUUAGUGUCCAGGAAAUUCCUGCAUUGAUUCCAUCAGUCUGUGGUGUUGGUUAAGGAAUUCUCACUCUCCUGUGCUCCUCCUUUGUGUUCCAUUCAUUUGCUUAGAGCAGACACUUCUGCACUGCUGUAGUAACCCUGUAGUAAGACUAAAGACAUGUUCCAUGCAGGGUCAGGUUUGGGGGUUUGUUGUUUGUGUAGAAACACAUUUGAUGUGACAACCCCAUAGUGCUCAUUUUAGUUCAAAAGCUUGAAAAACAAUAGAUUUAUUCUUCCUAUAGAUUUGGGUGGGUUUUCUUUAGGGUUUAUUUCCUGAAACUAAUUCAGGAAUGUACAACUAAAAUAGAAUGGGCAUUAUAAAUUUCAACCUUUCAGUACUGGUUGUCUUGUACAAUACUAAUUAGGAGCUCCAGUAGUAACUGCCCUUUAGCCUGAUUUUUUUCUUUCUUUUUUUCUUUCUUUCUUUUUUUUUUUUUUUUUUUUUGAUACACAGUAAUUUUACUGAGUGCUUAGUACUGAGAAGAGGAACUAAAUAGAAAAAGAAGUCCCAGUCUGCAGUGUCCAGCAGCAUUUCUGAGCUUUAGGGCCAUUCAGGUAGACACCAGUGAUAUCCUGGCUGGAGGCCAGUGUGUAAUGGUGGAAAUCCUUUUAAGUAGUAUUCAUUUCAAGCAAGUAUUUGCUAAGCUUUUGGAAAAGUGUUGGAACAUUUUUUUUUUUUAAACUCAGAAUCAACUUGUUGCCUAAAUAAUCUUACUUUAGUAGCUAGACUUGCAGCUGUGGUAAGUUUAAGGCAAAGUGUCUUCCAUUUAGUCUGACAGAAGAGUUGAACAAACUUUAGACAGUAAAUCAUAAAGGCAAAGUUUGAAAUGCAGGGGAAGAGCUGGACUGUCACAUCCCAGGGCAUCAGUGUGUGUACAUGAUGAAUUAAAACCACUCUUGCCUUUUCAGUGCCCUUCAUUUGAAAUGGGUUAGUCAGAUUUCAGCCCCCCACGUGUCAGUGUGAGGGUGAGCAGCAUUUCAGCAGUUCAGGCUUAAAUUAGCUUUGUAGCCUGAGCAGGCAGGUUAGGAGUUGAAGUGUCUCUUCCCUUUUAGAUCACUUGAGUUGCUUCCAGCGACUCUAUACCUGUUCUUCUGUGUCAGUACAGAGUGUUGGGUUCCUUCAUUUUCAUGUCAACACCUUUUCAGUAGUCACUUAAAACAGCUGCAGAAUUUUUUUCUUUUCUUCCAUAGUAUGUCUGAAGUUUUUUAUGAAUGUUACCUGAGGUUUGUGUUAGAAUGACAGCGCCGAAAAUUGCGUCAAGUGAUGUUAGGGAGAGAAGUCACUUUGGAUUGCAGUAGUGUGGGAUACAUGGAAAUACUGAUACACUUAGUCAAGAAUUUUGCCCUGUUUUAGUUUUUAGCAUUCAAUCUGAAUUCUGUGAUUUUCAUUUUUAAGAUGGUAGUUUUCGUUGUUUGUUGAAGUUGCUUUUAUUAGUGUGUAGUUCUCCUUUCCCACACUUCCUCCACUCCUCCCACCACUGGCCAGGAGCUGUCCCAGCAUGUUGCUGCCUUAGGACUCGGCUUCUCUUUUAACACCUGGACCCCCAGCCUGUAGAACUCAAGGUGACUGGACCUCACUCUUGAGUUUUGGCUGUGAAGAGCUACCAGCAACAAGAUGCUGGGUUUUUUUGUUUGAUUGGCUUUUUAAACGACCUCUCACAUUUCUGAGAUAGAGGAGAAAGGAAAAAAAGGAAAGCAGAGAGGA
Long non-coding RNA from Pseudopipra pipra, 7149 nucleotides. RefSeq lists it as uncharacterized. The record is from RefSeq and is a predicted model, not a curated record. The transcript has 2 exons. Lineage: Eukaryota; Metazoa; Chordata; Aves; Passeriformes; Pipridae.